Molecule: RNA transcript, 1184 nt
Organism: Musa acuminata AAA Group (dessert banana)
Lineage: Eukaryota; Viridiplantae; Streptophyta; Magnoliopsida; Zingiberales; Musaceae
Exons: 8
Source: RefSeq, a predicted model, not a curated record
ACUCCCUUUACAUCGCGACUUAUGUUACGAUGUGUCCGAAGUGGUUUUGUUUCAGAAGCUGUACCGAAUCAUCGUCUUCCCUCCCUAAAACCUAAUCCUCGUCUUCGUGCGUGUGCGAGGUGGCCGGACAUCGUCUUCCUAGGGCGCGCGUGGAAGCCGGCCACGGCGUUGUUGGGUAAGGCGAGCGGCCCUCCGGUGGUGCCUCCCUUCUCUCAGGCGGAGGUGCCUUCUUCUCGUUCCUGUCGCCCUACCUCUCCUUCUCCCAACCCCUCUUCCCCUCUCGGCGGUGCCAGCCCUUGCACCCCUCGCCUUGCUGUUCUCUCCUUCACCUCCCGCGACGGGAGCAUGUUUUGUCUCAGCUUAAUCGAGCAUAAUUUGCAUUUGCCUCCACACUUACUUAACCGUCCGCUUCUUGAUGCAAUUAAGGAAGAACUUGAGAGGUUGUUUUUGGACAAGGUUCUCUCAAAUUUGGGUCUUUGCAUCUCUAUCUAUGACAUUCGAACCAUAGAAGGUGGCUUUGUCUUCCCUGGUGAUGGUUCUUCCACAUAUAAGGUCGUGUUUAGGCUAAUUAUGUUCCGACCAUAUGUUGGGGAGAUUCUUUGCGGAAAGCUUAAAGCAUCUGAUGCCAAUGGUUUGCAUUUGUCUCUUGGGUUCUUUGAUGACAUAAAGGUUCCCGUGCACCUACUCCCACACAAAAGCAGAAUGGGAGAUGAUGGCAUAUGGAUAUGGGAACAUGAGUGUGGAGACUUACCUAUGGAUUUAGAUGAAGAGCCUGCAGGUACAUUUCCGGGUGACCAAAAUUAAUUAUCCUCCCAUUCCUGUGGAGCAAGAUGCAAAUGCAAGUCCCUUCUCUCCUAUGGAGAUUAUUGGAGAGAUCUAUGGCGAUGGUUUGGGACUUCUUUCUUGGUGGGCAGACUAAGUGCCAAAAAACACAAAUUAAAGGACUAUUAAGGGUACUCCGUUGCAUCGGCAAUGGCGGAUCAUCACGUCUACAAAGACCGAAGAUAGUUUUUUUUUUCUUUUUUGGUAAUGUUAUUGUGAACAUAUUCAAUAUUCUCUCUCACACAGCUGGUUUUGAAAAGAUUUCUCGAGUGGAAAUGAUUGUGCCAGUGUAUUAAAUCUACAAUUAACUUUGCUUGGCACUUUACCAGACAUGAUCUUAAUGCUAAAGGGCUAUACAAAUA